AUGGCAUCAUGAGAAAGACUCCACGGGCCGUUGCUGGCUUUGAAGAUGGAGGAAGGAGGCCAUGAGCAGGUGGCUGCAGGUAGCAUCUAGAAGCUGAAAACAAAUUGUCCCCCAGAGGCUCCAGGAGAAACACAGCCCUGCCAACGCCUUGAUUUUACCCCUAUGAGACCUAUGCAGACGUCUGACCUUCAGAAGGGUUUAUAUACUGAGAAGGGAGUCUCCCAGGAGAAAAUCCGGAGGAGAGAAGAGGAGUUCAUAGCCCCAAACAUUUUUCAUCAUCAUUGCAGUAGGGCGUCAAUCUGCCAUCUGUAAACCCAGACUGUAAAGUGGACCUAGCUGUCUUUAUUGUUUCUGAUUUGAAUUAAUUUCUGGCUGAAACCUACAUUCCACUGACUGUUGGGAAAUGUUACCAUUGGGUUCCUUCCCUUACCUCCGUGAUGUGCCAUAGUUCUGGGAUCCUACAAAGUGCUGACCUGUCUAGAUUGGAAUGUCCAGGUGACCACUGAGGCAUCUACUGUCCAGGUCCACGUGGGGCCGUGGUCUGGUGGGUCUCUGCUGCUUGUGUCCCACACUUGAGGCACAGAAUUCUUUGACUAGGCUGCCUGGCCCUUCUGCCUGGAUGCACCAUGCACCACUCCUCUGGGGUCCUGCUGCCCCCCAGUACUCCCCACCGCCUGGUCUCUGCCAUGCCUGGACGCACAGUCCUCUUUCCUCUCCUCCUAAGCUGGAAGGAGCCAUCUUUUCCCAGGAUGGGAGUGAAACUCCAAACUCAACUUGGCUCCUUCAAGAUAUCCCGUUUCUAUCAGCAAGGCCUGUUCUCCCUCUUAACUCUUCCCAGACCCCGAGGAAUCACUUGCGGGAGACAAAAGCCAGAAGGACUGUGGAUGACUUCUGCCUUUCAGCCUGCUCCCACCUCGUGAGGCAAGAAGCACGCAAGAGACGGUCAGCUUGCAUGAAGGGAGGAGAAAAUAGAGGAAAAACUUAAUACCUCAAAAUACGGUCUAGCCACACGAGAGAUUUCAGAACACCGAGUGGAAGGCAUCAGGGAAUUCAUAGUUCCGUCAGAGAGAAGGUGCAAAUUCUGAAGUACUUGGCAUUUACAAAUGGAUUGUUUCAAACCCACACUGGUCAAUCAAUUGUUUGGAAUUUGAAAUGUAUUUUUUUUUUUUUCAAAAAAAUGUUAUAAACACUGGUUUGCUUUCCAGGCAAGCCCAGAGAUACUAUGGUGAAAACAAAACUUUUUAUUUCUCUUAAUACCAUUGGAACAGAGAAGAAAUGCUAACAAAGUCAUAGCUUCAAUCAUAUUUGUUUAGUUUUGUUUGAGAUCUGAAGAAAUAGUUUGGAUUUUUCAAAGGUUUUAGACGCUUAGGGAAUCAGCUGCUUGUGUUAUGUCCAUUUUUACUUCCUUCUUUCUUCUUGAUACUAUAGUCAGUGCCAAUAAUGUUGGGGAUGUCAGCUACAAUCAUAGGCAAGGGAGACAGGGCUCAAAAACACCAGAAACAGAAUGGGAAAAUUUUGAGAGAAACUGAGGUAUCUUACAGGAAAUUAAAGAGAAACGGGAAGGAGAAAAGGAGUCAAAGUGAAGGGUGUGCUUGUGAUAAGGAGGUUCCUCGAGGUGUAGUUAAUGGACUUGAGAAAUGAGGAAGACGUGCAGAAUCACUCCAAGGAGGAGGCAGGAGAGAAGUGUGCAGAAAUCAAAACCCAAACGCCUUCAGGGCCCAGACAGGUACAGGAAAGGAGCAGGCUGGGGAUGAAAGAAAGGGAAAUAGUGGGGAGCGUGGCAAACCAGAGUUCAGGAAAUUCUAAUUUGAUUUUUUGUAAAACAUCAGUGUGAGCCUAACCAAAUACCGCUGCAAGCUGAGUUGUAUCUGUUGGCCACCUUUCAGAAUCUUUGGCAAAGAGAUUAAAAGCAGGAGAUCUGGAGUCAGACUGCCUGGGUUCAUCACCUGCUUCACCACUUAGUGGUCUGUGACCUCACUUUCCUCGUCUGUAUACCGAUUUUUCUGACUUCAUAGGAUUGUUGUGAAGUAUGACAACAUAGGUGAGAGGCUGGCCCCAUGGCUGAACGGUUAAGUUCUCGUGCUCCAUUUCAGCGGCCCAGGGUUUCGCCGGUUCGGAUCCUGGGCACAGACAUGGCACCGUUCAUCAGGCCAUGUUGAGGUGGCGUCCCACAUAGCACAGCCAGAAGGACCUACAGCUAGAUUAUACAACUAUGUGCUGGGCGGCUUUGGGGAGAUGAAGAAAAAGGAUUGGCAACAGAUGUUAGCUCAGGUGCCAAUCUUUGGGGAAAAAAAAAAAAGGAAACUUAAAAAAAAAGAAGAUAACACGGGUGAAGUGCUUUGCACAGGGCACAGUAAGCCUCCAAUAAAUGCUCAGUAAGCAUCCACUAGAACAUAAUCCCCUGGACAGUCUGUUUGUUGCUGGAUCCCCAAUGCCUACAAUAGUGCCUGGCACAUAGUAGGUACUCACUAAAUAUUUGUUAGAUGACUGAAUAGAUGGGCGAAGGGAAAAGAAGGCAAUUAUAGGGAAGAGAUGCAGGGUCAUAAGAGUUCUCCACACUGACCGUGAGACAGCUCAGGUUAGAGGGGUUGCUGAGCUAUGUUUUAAGGAGUAUAGAGUAUCAUCUCCCGAACUCAAAAACUUUUAGAACUAGAAGGCAAUGAGUCUUUCUUCUGGUCUUUGAUGGUUAAUUUUAUAUGUCAACUCAACCAAGACUCGGGAUGCCUAGAUAUCUUAUGAAACAGUAUUUCUGAGUGUGUUCACAGAGGGUGUUUCUGGAGAGAUUCGCAUUUCAAUCAGUAGACUGAGUAAAGAAGAUUGCCCUCCCCACUGUGGGGGGCAUCGUCCUAUCUGUCGAGGGCCUGAAUAGAACAAAAAUGUGAAGAAGGUUGAAUUUGCUCUCUGCUUGACUGCGUGAGCUGCAACAUCAACCUUCUCCCGCCCUCAGUGCUCCUUCUCAGGCCUGUAGAUGAAGACUGGAACCCACACCAUCAGCUCUCUGGCUCUCAAGCCUUCGAACUACAUCACCAGCUUUCCUGGGUCUCCAGCUUGCAGAUGGCAACUGGUGGGCUUCUCAGCAUCCAUAGUCAUGUGAGCCAAUACCUCAUAACGCGUCUUCCCAAAUUUUUAUAUAUUUUGUAUGCACACCCACACAUCCUACUGGUUGUGUUUCUCUGGAGAACCCUGACUAAUACGCUGUCUGACCCUUUCGUUUAACACAUCAGGAAACCAAGAUACAAAGAGACUAAGCCAGGUGUGCAAACCAGGUAGCCAUAAACAAGAAAGUCACUGUUUUGGUAUGUUUGUGUACAUGUGAUUUCGCAAGAGAGAAAUGCAAAUCAAAACCACGAUGAGAUAUCACCUCACCCCUCUUGAAUGGCUGUUAUCAGAAAUAUAAGAAGUAAGUGUUGUUGAGGAUGUGGAGAAAAGGCAACCUGCAAGCACUGUUGCUGGGAAUGCAAAUUGGUGCAGCCACUGUGGAAAACACUAUGGAGCUUCCUCAAAAAAUUAAAAAUUGAAAUACCGUAUGAUCCUGCAAUUCUACUUCUGGGUAUUUAUCUGAAGAAAAUGAGAACACCAACUUGAAAAGAUAUACGCACCCACAUGUUCACUGCAGCAUUAUUUACAACAGCCAAGACAUGGAAACAACCUAAGUAUCCAUUGAUGGAUAUAUACAUACCCACACACACACUGCAAUAUUAUUCAGCCGUAUGAAAUCUUGCCAUUUGCAACAACAUGAACGGACCUCGAGGGCAUUAUGCUAAGUGAAAUAAGUCAGAGAAAGACAAAUACCAUAUAAUCCCUCUCAUACAUGGAAUUUAAAGAAACUAAAAAAAACAACAAACAAGCUCAUAGAUACAGAGAACAGAUUGG
This 3873-nucleotide long non-coding RNA is filed under the name Equus asinus (donkey). RNAcentral's name for it is "lncRNA (ENSEASG00005028977.1)". Lineage: Eukaryota; Metazoa; Chordata; Mammalia; Perissodactyla; Equidae. The record is from RNAcentral.